This 244-nucleotide ribosomal RNA is filed under the name uncultured bacterium. RNAcentral's name for it is "partial small subunit ribosomal RNA". It matches the Rfam family "Bacterial small subunit ribosomal RNA", at positions 26 to 285 of the family's 1533-position model. The record is from RNAcentral.
AGAAUCAACGCUGGCGGCGUGCCUAACACAUGCAAGUCGAACGAGAAAGUGGAGCAAUCCAUGAGUAAAGUGGCGACCGGGUGAGUAACACGUGACUAACCUACCUUCGAGUGGGGGAUAACCUCGGGAAACCGAGGCUAAUACCGCAUAACAUCGCAAGAUCAAAGCAGCAAUGCGCUGGAAGAGGGGGUCGCGGCUGAUUAGCUAGUUGCGGGGUAAUGGCCCACCAAGGCGAAGAUCGGUA